UUCUUCUUUGGAACCGACUGAAUAGAAAAUAGCCAACUUUACAAAUUUAAACCAAGAAAUAAAUGAAUCGAACUUUAAAAAAAAAGAACUUAUGGAUUCAACGAUUUCGUUGAUUCGAAACCGGGACAAGUUGGUCAAAGCCGUCGAAGCGUCAUCCUCGGUUUGAAGCUGAGACACUUCGUCUACCACCUGAGUUUGGACCAGGUCGACCACGUCCCUCACAAGAUCGUCAUCAAUCUGGCCGGUCUUCUUGUUGGUAUACGCCCUCCUCAUUAGGGCGAGAUCAUCAACCGGCUCGCCAUCAUUUUCUUCCGCCUUGAAAAAAAACAUAAAUUAAAAAAACAUUAGAAAUUAGAAGAAAUGCACAAUAAAUUAAAAUUCUAAAACUCAAAUAAUUGAAGAAAAAGCGGU
RNAcentral lists this long non-coding RNA (411 nucleotides) under Brassica napus (rape). Its description in RNAcentral is "long non-coding RNA (BNAP_LNC010080)". The record is from RNAcentral. Lineage: Eukaryota; Viridiplantae; Streptophyta; Magnoliopsida; Brassicales; Brassicaceae.